AGUGAACGCUGGCGGUAGGCCUAACACAUGCAAGUCGAACGGCAGCACAGUAAGAGCUUGCUCUUACGGGUGGCGAGUGGCGGACGGGUGAGGAAUACAUCGGAAUCUACCUUUUCGUGGGGGGUAACGUAGGGAAACUUACGCUAAUACCGCAUACGACCUACGGGUGAAAGCAGGGGAUCUUCGGACCUUGCGCGAUUGAAUGAGCCGAUGUCGGAUUAGCUAGUUGGCGGGGUAAAGGCCCACCAAGGCGACGAUCCGUAGCUGGUCUGAGAGGAUGAUCAGCCACACUGGAACUGAGACACGGUCCAGACUCCUACGGGAGGCAGCAGUGGGGAAUAUUGGACAAUGGGCGCAAGCCUGAUCCAGCCAUACCGCGUGGGUGAAGAAGGCCUUCGGGUUGUAAAGCCCUUUUGUUGGGAAAGAAAAGCAGCAGGUUAAUACCCCGCUGUUCUGACGGUACCCAAAGAAUAAGCACCGGCUAACUUCGUG
This 492-nucleotide ribosomal RNA is filed under the name uncultured bacterium. RNAcentral describes it as "partial 16S ribosomal RNA". It matches the Rfam family "Bacterial small subunit ribosomal RNA", at positions 29 to 507 of the family's 1533-position model. The record is from RNAcentral.